RNAcentral lists this ribosomal RNA (316 nucleotides) under uncultured bacterium. Its description in RNAcentral is "bacterial SSU rRNA". It matches the Rfam family "Bacterial small subunit ribosomal RNA", at positions 28 to 334 of the family's 1533-position model. The record is from RNAcentral.
GGUGAACGCUAGCGAUAGGCUUAACACAUGCAAGUCGAGGGGUAACAUGGGAGUAGCUUGCUACUUCUGAUGACGACCGGCGGAUGGGUGAGUAACGCGUAUGCAACUUGCCUCUUAGUGGGGAAUAACCCGGAGAAAUCCGGACUAAUACCGCAUACACUUAGUUAUCCGCAUGGAUGAUUAAGGAAAGAUUUAUUGCUAAGAGAUAGGCAUGCGUUCCAUUAGUUGGUUGGUGAGGUAACGGCUCACCAAGGCAUCGAUGGAUAGGGGAGCUGAGAGGCUUACUCCCCCACAUUGGGACUGAGUCACGGCCCAA